GAUGAACGCUGGCGGCGUGCCUAAUACAUGCAAGUCGAGCGAACAGAUGAGGAGCUUGCUCCUCUGACGUUAGCGGCGGACGGGUGAGUAACACGUGGAUAACCUACCUAUAAGACUGGGAUAACUUCGGGAAACCGGAGCUAAUACCGGAUAAUAUAUUGAACCGCAUGGUUCAAUAGUGAAAGACGGUUUUGCUGUCACUUAUAGAUGGAUCCGCGCCGCAUUAGCUAGUUGGUAAGGUAACGGCUUACCAAGGCAACGAUGCGUAGCCGACCGGAGAGGGUGAUAGGCCACACUGGAACUGGGACCCGGUCCAGACCCCUACGGGAGGCAGCAGUAGGGAAUCUUCCGCAAAGGGCGAAAGCCUUACGGAGCAACGCCGCGUGAGUGAUGGAGGUCUUCGGAUCGUAAAACUCUGUUAUUAGGGAAGAACAAAUGUGUAAGUAACUAUGCACGUCUUGACGGUACCUAAUCAGAAAGCCACGGCUAACUACGUG
RNAcentral lists this ribosomal RNA (497 nucleotides) under uncultured bacterium. Its description in RNAcentral is "partial 16S ribosomal RNA". It matches the Rfam family "Bacterial small subunit ribosomal RNA", at positions 28 to 507 of the family's 1533-position model. The record is from RNAcentral.